GGGGGCGUAGCUCAACUGGUAGAGCAACGGACUUUUAAUCCGUAGGUUGUGGGAUCGUGCCCCACCGCCCUCA
RNAcentral lists this transfer RNA (73 nucleotides) under Gemmatimonadota bacterium. RNAcentral describes it as "Gemmatimonadetes bacterium (freshwater metagenome) tRNA-Lys". It matches the Rfam family "tRNA". Rfam says of the family: Transfer RNA (tRNA) molecules are approximately 80 nucleotides in length. Their secondary structure includes four short double-helical elements and three loops (D, anti-codon, and T loops). Further hydrogen bonds mediate the characteristic L-shaped molecular structure. tRNAs have two regions of fundamental functional importance: the anti-codon, which is responsible for specific mRNA codon recognition, and the 3' end, to which the tRNAs corresponding amino acid is attached (by aminoacyl-tRNA synthetases). tRNAs cope with the degeneracy of the genetic code in two manners: having more than one tRNA (with a specific anti-codon) for a particular amino acid; and 'wobble' base-pairing, i.e. permitting non-standard base-pairing at the 3rd anti-codon position. Lineage: Bacteria; Pseudomonadati; Gemmatimonadota. RNAcentral also lists the same sequence under 1 other name. The record is from RNAcentral.